UACGUAGGGACCAAGCGUUGUCCGGAAUCAUUGGGCGUAAAGAGCGUGUAGGCGGCUUGUUAAGUCUUGUGUGAAAUCUCGGGGCUCAACCCCGAGCGGUCGAGAGAAACUGGCAGGCUAGAGUGCGGGAGAGGAGAGUGGAAUUCCUGGUGUAGCGGUGAAAUGCGCAGAUAUCAGGAAGAACACCCGUGGCGAAGGCGGCUCUCUGGAACGCAACUGACGCUGAGGUGCGAAAGCGUGGGGAGCAAACAGG
This 253-nucleotide ribosomal RNA is filed under the name uncultured bacterium. Its description in RNAcentral is "partial 16S ribosomal RNA". It matches the Rfam family "Bacterial small subunit ribosomal RNA", at positions 524 to 776 of the family's 1533-position model. The record is from RNAcentral.